Long non-coding RNA from Anastrepha obliqua, 280 nucleotides. RefSeq lists it as uncharacterized. NCBI's taxonomy places the organism in Eukaryota, Metazoa, Arthropoda, Insecta, Diptera, Tephritidae. The transcript is spliced from 3 exons. The record is from RefSeq and is a predicted model, not a curated record.
AAUGUCGUUUUUCACUAUUUAGGUCGAUUAUGUCUUGCAUAUUGUGAUAGUCGAUUAUUUGGAGUCGGCUUUCUGCUUCAGAAAACCACCGGUUUGUGAAUUUUCAUACAUGUUUUUAUAGCAGCGUUUUUGCAAAUAUAACAGAGACCACCUUACAUACAAUAAACUACAGUUAGACUUCACAGACGAGCAAUUGCUGCGGAAGGUGUGUGUUGAAGAGCUAGGUGGCCCAACUAUUGUGGUUUUUAGAAACGAAAGCACGUAUGCGCGUAUUUCUACC